CUAUCAAAAGAAGUUCUUGUUCAAGUUGCAUCUCUGGAGAAAUCGCAUGCGAUAUGGGACGCACUAGGGAACAUGUUCUCCGCCGUGUCCCUGUAUCGUGCGAACAACAUACGCGCAGCCCUCACCAAUGCCCAGAAGGGAUCGCAAUCGGCAUCGGCGUACUUCGGGCACAUGCGGUCGCUUGCUGAUGAGCUCGCGGCGGCGGGCAAACCGAUCACCGAGACCGACCUCAUCUCCUUCAUCAUCACGGGCCUCUACAUGGAGUACCAGCCGAUCAUCACUGCGCUGGAUGUCCGCACCGAGCCGGUCACCAUUGAUGCCCUCUUCUCACUGGUGGCAAAUUUCGAUCAGAGGGUCGAGAUGUUCCACGGUAAUUGUUCUAGUGCCUUUAAAUCUUCUACAAACAUUGCAUCUCGU
RNAcentral lists this ribosomal RNA (417 nucleotides) under Triticum aestivum (bread wheat). Its description in RNAcentral is "partial small subunit ribosomal RNA". The record is from RNAcentral. Lineage: Eukaryota; Viridiplantae; Streptophyta; Magnoliopsida; Poales; Poaceae.